CUAUUUCAGAAAUAUACAAAUGAGUGGGUUUUCUCUGAGUAAUCUCUUCUAUUUUCUUCUGAUUUGAAAAUCUCCCUAGUGACCUGUCAUGAAGAGCUAAUGGCACAACCCUCUGCCUUUGAUUCCAAAUGCAAGCCUAGUGAACACAGCAUGACUGGAAUCCCAAAGUCAUUAUUUUUAUCUCUAAGCAGAUUGCUUCUCGUAGCACACAGGGAGAAAACAGAAAGCUUUUUACAAUAGAAGAGAAGAAGAGAAAAUAUAGGAGUUAAAUAUAUCUUUAUUUAUUACAAGUUUACAUCACACUUGGGAAGAGCUUUAGGUAGAAAACACAAGAAAAAAUAAUUUUUGUAUAUGAGAUCUAGUCAUAUAAUAUAAAUACAUAGUAUAUGUGAAGCAUUAGCAUACCUAUCAUUUUAAUACAAAUAAUAAGAAUGAUUUUUAUGAGUGAUAUUUUUGGCACUCAAAUAUUUAUUGAUUGAUUUUAGCCUGAAAAGAAAUUCAGUUUAGUUUAAGAGUUAGCCAGUUGGGUUUUGUUUUUUUUUUUAAGACCAUGUAUUUCACUAUGACGUUAGUUGCUACAGUCCAAAUCACAGAAUUUUAGGAAUCCUAUUGGAAUUGGAAAGGAUCAAGGGGAAACAAUACCCUCUGUCAAACUGGACAGUGAAUCUCAGUCCUUGUAGGUCACAGGUUAGCCCACAGUCCCCACGCUCUGAACAGAGCACACAUUUGUAACCAAGCUCUAGGUGACUCUAGAGGACUUGGAGCACAAUAGAGACCUGGAUUGAAGUAUGCUCUUGUGAGGAGAGCUUUCCAAGGAUCAGGCUUGAAUUGAGCCAUCUUUUCACCUUAUUACCCUUUCAUCCUCAGUAAGAAAUUGGACUAAUCUGGAUCCCUACCUUAGCAUGGACUGGAAAGCACCAAAAUUGACUAUAGUAUUGUUUUCCCAGUAGCCAGGGAGUGGCUACUUCAGAAUCAAAGAGAAGAGGAGAAGUCUAUUUACCAUGCAGAUUCGUGGGCCCCAUCCCAGACUUACUGAAUCAGCAGAACUGAGGAUGUUUCUGAAGAGGGUCCACUUUCAGGAGCUCUCUAGGUAAAAAAAUGUUCCAAAAACUACUUUUUCAGCUGGAUUCUCUGCUGUUUCCUUGGUAGCCCUGAAAAUUCUACUGUAUUGACAGCUCCAAGGGAUCCAAGAUGAGUCACCAUUGUUUCAUAGUCAAUGAACAAGACCUGGCCUUCCUUCUAAUCCAUUGCCAAAAACAGCAUUUCCUGCUGUAUAUUGUUGUGUUUGAGGUAGAAGGAAGUUACCACCUAGAGGCAAACCUCUCAAAAGCAGCAAGUCACCCUGACAGCAGCAGACUUAAGGAAGGGCUCAAAGAUCUCUGUGAGGCGGCCAUCAAUACCCAAAGCAAGAUGGAGAAGACAUUGUUCUCCCAACAGCUGGCCUGGAAUUCCUCUUAGGGACAGUUUUCUUUGGAGGGGUUGACUCUCUGUGGUAUGACUGUCAGCUGCCCCCUAGUUUCCAUGAAGGAGAACUGAAGAGGAGAAUAAAAACUUGCAGCUCUCAGGAGAGCAACCUUAGAGAAAUGGGAGUGAGAAGGAAAGGUGGGAAGGGAAAAACAAAACUCAGAUAAUGUAGCUUGAACAUUUGUCUACUCCAACUCUCAUGUUAAAAUUUAACCUGCAAUAUUGGAGGUGGGGCCUAGUAGGAGGUGUCUGGGUCAUGGCAGCAGAUCCUUCAUGAAUGGCUUGGUGCCACACUGGAAGUAAUGAGUGAGUUACUGCACUAUUAGUUCCCACAAGAGCUGAUUUUUUUUUUUAAAGCUGGGCCCCCUCUCUGCCCAUGUGAUCAGCACACACUGGCUCCCCUUCACCUUCUGCCAUGAGUGGAAGCAGCCUGAAACCCUCAGCAGAUGCAGAUGCCAAUGCCAUGCUUCUUAUGCAGCCUGCAGAAUAGGCCAAAUAAAGUUCCUUUAUUUAUCAAUUAGCCUCAUGUCUUCCUUUAUAGCAACACAAAUCGACUGACAUAGGAUCAAAAUAAAAAUAAUAAUUUCAUUCUUAUAGUAAACCUCUGACACAGGUACUAUUAUUAUUCCUACUUUAUAAUUUAGGAAACUGAGGCACAGAAAGGUUAAGUAGGGAAAUGUGUGUGUGCCAUAACCCUUCUCUAUGAUUUUCUUUUUUUCAGUCUUGUGCUGUCAUCCAGGCUGGAGUGCAAUGGCACAAUGUUGGCUCACUGCAACCUCCACCUCUCAGGUUCAAGUUAUUCUCCUGCCCUCAGCCUCCCAAGAAGCUAGGAUUACAGGUGCCCGCCACCACACCCAGCUAAUGUUUUUGUAUUUUUAGGGGAGAUGGGGUGUCAGCCAGGCUGGUCUCGAACUCCUGACCUCAAGUGAUCCACCUACCUCAGCCUCCAAAACUGCCAGGAUUACAGGCGUGAGCCACUGAGCCCAGCUCUUCCCUGUGAUUUUCUAUAUCGUCCCAAAACUUUACCAAAAUGUAUUAGAAUUAUGGGUGAGUUUGAUACUGUGGAUAUUUUUCUUCACAGCGUCCGUCCUGAGCUCCCUGUGUGGGUUGAUUUAGGGCAGAAAGAGGGCUGGAGCAUAUGUAGGCACAUGUCUGUCUGGGACAUGGGAGAUUUGAAAUGACAGCAUGCAUUAAACAGCAAGAAUAACCACCACCACGGACAGCUCAGAGGGAGGGUUACAUGUAUGAACUGUAAUUGGUUCAAUUGCUGGGAAACAGAAAGAAAUUUCUUAAAUUUUUCAGAAAUCCAAACUAAAGUAUCCCUAGAGUCACUGGAAGAAAUUUCAAUGGAUAGGAGAGCUCCAAAAGCUGUAAAGAAUCUACCCAGAUUCUCUUUCACCUUCCACUGGGGUUCACUAAAGCGAUCUGCUUGAGACCAGGCUGUCAUGGAGGGAUAGAUUCUUUUGUUCUUCCCCUUUUCACAGUUGUUGUUAUCACACUUUACCAAAAAAAGCUUAUCUCCCAUCCCUUUCAAGAAUUCAGAUGGUGCAUUGUUCAGGGUAUAAAAGUCUCCCAGGACAAAAGACACUAUUCAAAAUACAGUAACCAUCUCUAGCACAAUGAAAAUUGACGUAUAAGGUCAUUAGCCAUUGACGCUCCACCUCUGCAGCAGACUUACCCCUACUUUUCACUGAUGUCACAACAGGCCUGCAUUUUAGGACACUGAAAUUUUUAGAUUUCAUAAAAGGCUUGUAAUAAAUUAAGUUGCUGUUGCAAAAGGGGAUUAUUCCUAAUACUUGUGUGGCAUCAGGGCUGGCAAACGACAGCCUGCAGGCAACCCCUCCCACAAAACAAAGGAGAAAAAAAAAAACAAAAAACUGUUUUUUAAAAAAU
This 3357-nucleotide long non-coding RNA is filed under the name Homo sapiens (human). RNAcentral's name for it is "HSALNT0027807". The record is from RNAcentral. Lineage: Eukaryota; Metazoa; Chordata; Mammalia; Primates; Hominidae.